Mus musculus (house mouse) is the source of this 1608-nucleotide long non-coding RNA. RefSeq annotates it as predicted gene 15331. Lineage: Eukaryota; Metazoa; Chordata; Mammalia; Rodentia; Muridae. The record is from RefSeq and is a predicted model, not a curated record. The transcript has 3 exons.
AUUACUCAUAAAAAAGCUGUCUUUCACCUGCUCAAACAAGGAACAAAAUUCAUCCUUAACUCAUCUGUGCACUCUACGCAAUCCAUAUGAAUAUCUUAAUGCUACUAAAAUUUUGGUUGUGUGAUUCAUAUAUUGCAGAAUGCACAGCUCUGACAAGAUUCAUCUGCUGGGAUGCUCAACUGACCUGCUGUUCCAGUGCCCUGCUUCCUGUUGCUGUCCAGAGACUUGCUUCAAAAACAGCUUUAAGGCUCUAUGCCCCAGUAGGAUUUCUCAUCACCGUUUUCAGCAGAAGGAAGUUGUGGAGAGUCGUCAUCCUGAUCCCUUGGGGUUGGGUGUCUGGAUCUUUUGACCAUGCUUCGGACAGCUUUCCCCAUCUCCCUUCAAAGAAGAACUGGACAUCUUUAUCUUCAGGUGAGGCUGCUUAUUGUGGCAAGGUAGCCACAGGACAGAAAUUGCUCAUAUCAUCUACAGACAAUGUACUGUUUAAAAGGACCAACAGAAGUGGGAUAAUUGACUACUAAGCUCUGCCAAUACAGGGUCAGCUGGUCCUUCAUAUUUCCUCCUUCACGAAAGGUCUGCCAGAUGGUCCUGGGCCAGAAGGCUGAAGACAGAUGAUCUAAUAUUAUAAGAAAUUAUGGAUUGUGCAGGUAGUCAGCUGUCUGUAUAGUUGUUUAUAAGUUUGGGUAGCUAUGUUUGUUGCUUCCUAUACACUCAGGUAAUACUUAAUUCGUACUCGGAUUUCCGACGGUGUUGAAGACUAGUUAUAGUCUCAUAAUCAAACUCAAGAUGUUUAGUGUUCAGAGAGAGGGUAUAGAAUGGAAGACAUGGUUUCCAGAUGAUGUUUCAGGUCUAAACAUAAUUCCGGGAUAGAAUUGUAAGUUUUUAAGUUAGGAAUGAUGGUAGAGUACUUCAUCUAAUUGAUGAACAUGAUGGACUAGAUGUUAAUUGUCACAUCUAAUACUCUGUAAUUUACAUGAUUAUUAUGGUUUUGUUCCAUUUAUUUCUGAGAGAAGAGGUUUUUCAUUUGGACAGAAAAGGUGAGAUGCAGGGGGUGGUUCUGAUUCUAUGAUGGGGAAUCUGCGUGUGAACUCUGAAGGUCCUGUUUCCCAACUGGCUCUUGAUCUAUCAAUAAAGAUGCCAGCUAGUCAGCCCGCACCCUACCAUCCAGCCCCUGUAGGCCUCCCAGCCUGUAGUACAUGUCUAGGGUCAGUAACCCCUGACUGCCUCCAUGCUGGCUGUAUCCCUCUCCCCCCAGGAGCAGAAGCAGAUGCUGGGGGAGCAUCUGUUCCCACUUAUCCAAACAAUGCAUUCAAACCUGACUGGGAAAAUCACCGGGAUGCUGCUGGAAAUGGACAACUCUGAGCUGCUGCACAUGCUGGAGUCCCCUGAGUCUCUCCGUUCUAAGGUGGAUGAAGAAGCUGUGGCAGUCCUACAGGCUCAUCAUGUCAAGAAAGAAGCUGCCCAGAGGUGGGCACUGUUGCUCCUGCUACCUCUUAGAUAAGAAAAAAAGAGUUAAAAGCCAAAUAACCCCUUAUCACAUCCAGCUAAGUAAGGUCUGAAGAUGUCCUAGUUUGUCUGUGGACCUCCACACCAAGAACCAAGUUGCAA